Molecule: ribosomal RNA, 199 nt
Filed under: uncultured bacterium
Lineage: Bacteria
Description: partial 16S ribosomal RNA
Rfam family: Bacterial small subunit ribosomal RNA
Source: RNAcentral
ACGCUCGACACCUACGGGAGGCAGCAGUGGGGAAUAUUGCACAAUGGGGGAAACCCUGAUGCAGCGACGCCGCGUGAGCGAAGAAGUAUUUCGGUAUGUAAAGCUCUAUCAGCAGGGAAGAAGAAAGACGGUACCUGACUAAGAAGCCCCGGCUAACUACGUGUCAGCAGCCGCGGUAAUCUGAGCGGGCUGGCAAGGC